CAUUAGAUGACUGAAAGCAAGUACUGGUC
This 29-nucleotide non-coding RNA is filed under the name Drosophila erecta. Lineage: Eukaryota; Metazoa; Arthropoda; Insecta; Diptera; Drosophilidae. The record is from RNAcentral. RNAcentral also lists the same sequence under 6 other names.